GCAAGCGCUAGUAUAACGGUUAGCAUAGCUGCCUUCCAAGCAGCUGACCCGGGUUCGACUUCCCGGCCAACGCAGUUUGCU
Molecule: non-coding RNA, 81 nt
Organism: Caerostris extrusa
Lineage: Eukaryota; Metazoa; Arthropoda; Arachnida; Araneae; Araneidae
Source: the annotation of a GenBank genome assembly